GGGGAAGCAGCAAGAUGGAGGAGGAGAAGAAGAAGGAGAUAGCAGGUAGAAGGAAAAGCCCUGUAGGAUUUGAAGUGUGACAUGUGUCAGCUCUCUUCUAAUGAAGAGUCCAAGAAGAUGGUUGCUUUCUGCUCUUGAAACCAUGGCAGAAAUAAGCCUGAGGAACAACAAUAACUUGUUUUAUCACUGUUCUGUACUGUUUCACAGCCACCCACAGAGAAACUGAUAAGAGGGAGCCGCAGUGGUACGUGUGGGGUGUUCAGCCUGGAGCUGGAUCUGUGCUGGAGCACCACAGACUGGGAUAAUCCAGCGUCUGACCGGGGACACUGCUGCGCCACGCGACCUGCUAGCAGCUGCGCUAGGGACCCGCAGGGCUCCAGUUUGCCAUACUUCUUCACUGGCAGCAGGGAGAGGUACACUUCUGUUUCUGUAUGACAGGAGACUGAGGUAAUUUUGUGUCCGCUUUUUAAAAUUUUGGACAAAAUGGCAUCCGGAAGGAGGGCAUCGAGACAGUGUCCUGUGCUGUAGCAUCACUGAUCAUUCUGGGAAACAUCUGGUAACUGCAUUUCGUGGCAGGUUGAGGUCAGGCUGCUGCCUAGCUCUGAGCUAUUUCCUUUAAUGUAGCUCUAGUCUGCGGCCAGUCUGUCUCACUGCCUUCACACCAGUUUGUGCUGGCCUGUGCUUGCCCAACACCAGCUGCAGUGCGACUGAGCGGGGCUGGUGAGAUGCCCUGUGGUGGUGGCUCGCUGCCCCGUCCUUGUGGCAAGCAGGGAUCUGCAAGCCUUGUGGCUCUUUCUGCUGAGAUACUCAAAGCUUAGGAUACUGGGUUAGGGCUACAGUGAGAGCGAUGGGGUAGUGAUCUCUGAGUUGCAUGCUUUCAGGAAAACACAGUUUUCUGUCUUUUAGCUGGGCACUUUUAAAAAUGAUGGUGAUUUAUUUAAAUAUACUUGUCUGACCUGCUCUCGCUGUCCCUUGAGUACUGGUGCUCAGACACCCAGAACUGCCAACUAUUUGUCUGCUCUAUCGUGACUGUCUGCACUUUCUACAAAAGGGCACUGAAGCACAGCUGAUGUGAGAGGGUGCUCUGAGCCGAGUUUAUGCCCCUAUCUUUUGUUAUCAGCCCGACAGCCAGUUCCUCAUCCCGGAAAGCUACAGCUGGAUCUGUGCAGUGCAGUCACCGGGGGCUUGCCUGUGCAGCAUUCAUUCAGAAGCGGAUGCUGGCAGGCCUCAGUAACAAACCCACAUCUGUAUUCCUGGUCUCGAGCGGAGCCGCAGGUGUGACUGACUGCAGGGAAACUGAGAGGAAGCCACCCAGUCUUCAUGGCCAACAAAAACACCAAAAAUCUAGGAAAGCAUUCUGUGUCACCAGCACAGAGUCAGAGGGCACAAAUUAGGGAAUCCCAAAAAUGGGUAAAACGGCAAAUAAAACAAUUACAGCAGGAAGAAGGAAAGUAAUAAGGCUGGGCAGGAAAGCCAGAUGUGUGGAUGGAGUUACCUGCAAGAUGGAUUUUAGAGGCUGGGAGUAGGCAUGACUUUUUGGAAGUCUUGUCUUUGGACUUCAUCUCUUCUUCAGAUUUCUCUUGUGGCUGUAUGUUUUCCGUGGUUUCAGCUGAGGAAUGGAUUUUUUGACCUGCUAGUUCAUGUGCCUUCCUGUCUGGGCUGCUCUACCUGGAAUCUGCAGACGAUUUUGCUGCCCGCGUGGGAGGCUCUGGCUGCUGAGCAGGCUGCCUGCAACUCUAUUCCUUCUUUCAGGGUGCACCAAAAUAUUAAAUAUCAUUAAAAAAAAAGUGUCUGCAUCUCAAGCCCUUGAUACUGGCCAGCUUGCUUUUUACUCGUGUGUCCUGCUGCUCAGUAUGGCCCUGACUGGUGUUUUGCCAGCUCGUGUCCUUAUGAGUGAAUAUUCCUUUCCUACGCUGAUCUGAAACAGCAUGUUUCUGUACAACAGAGCCCAUUUGUUGAACCACCUAAUAGGAACUAAAUGUUACCAGAUUCCUGUGCUAAUGAGAAGCUUCUAGGUCUCAGUACUGGCAAUAAAGAGAAGGAAACCCUUACGGACCUUUCCUGCUCAGCGGAAGGAGCACUGCACUGGGCUCGGUGGCCACUCCUGCUCUGUGGUCUCGUGGGGCCUCCAGGGGGGCUUGAGGCCAGGCUCGCUGACCUGUUGGGGAGUGGGCAGGCUGCUUUAUGGCAACUCGGGUAGUGUUACGUGGACGGGAAGCUGAUGGAUGUCUGCCUGUGCAGUGGAGGGCACCGAGAUAUACACUCGUUGUUCACAUUAAUGCUCUAUUGCUCUGCUUUGGCCGCAAAUCACUGUGAGAGCAGGGAGGAUACCUCGCCGCUAAUAUUGACCCAUCCCUCUACAGUGGUCUUGAGACUCUGUACCUGGGGGGAGAUAAUGUUUUUAGGCAGCUUUAGUGCCUGGUUUCAGUGCAGACACUGUCUGUGCCAGACUCACUAAAGCCCUAGGUCCCCUGGAGGACCUGGGGAUGAAGGCAGGCUGCGUGCCAGGCAGGGGCUUGUAGGCACCUCUUCCUUUUGUGCUGUCCUGGGGUGCUGCAGAGGCAAAAGCAGCGUGUGCUUGCUCUCUCUUUCCCUGCGGGGCUGCAAGGCACGGACUGAGAAAAGACAAAACACAUCCAGGAUACAUCUUUAACUUUGUAUAUUCUGCCAGCGUAUGAGCCAGCACAAUUCAUACUUAGUGGACUUGAGCAUCGGAGCAGUUAUUUACGGUCAGCUUACCGUUGUGCUUACGGUAAAUAACCACCAGCCUGCAGUGCGAUUCCCUCCUGUGGUGCCUCUGGAGCCGCUCUGAGCUGCACCAUCCUUUGUUAAGGAUGCAACACGGCACUAAAACAAGUAAAUAUAAAUUGUUGUUUCAGUCAGCUUUUUGAUGGCUUUGUGCAGAAAAUGGGAGCGGGUGUGCUCUCCACAGGUGUCUGUGGAGACGGUUAGAGGAAGCGUGUGGAAGAAACAGACUGAUAAAAGAUCAGGAACAAUAUCAGCUGAUAACAAAAAUCUCUCUUCUGCGAUAUAACAUAGGAAAUGCAUCUGAGAAAUAUUUUGGAAAGUGUUUUAAAGUAUUCAUUAUGUUUCCCAAGAUAGACUGAGGAGAAAUAGAAUUAUUUUUGAUGAAACAAAUUGAUCUCUCAUCGCUAGACAUUUUCUUCCUCUGGAAACUGAUGAAUUUAACAUCACGUUAGCUUUUGCAAAUGUCACAUGAAAUAGAUGAGGAAAGCAACUUGGGAGAAAAGCUGUAAUCAAUCACAAGGUGCCACAGUUCUCCCUUCUCUGUUGAUCAUCUUCCCAGAAAGCAAUUUGAGGAGGGAAAGAUUACAAGUAUAAAGAAAAUAAAAACAAAUACCCCUCCCCUUUGUGAAGGCAGAUUAAGUGAGUCAACAGCCAUCUUCCUCUUGCAGAAGAAAACCCAGAGGCUGCAGGGUGGUCCAAGUUUUACUAAAAACACCUCUUAACUUAUUUGAAUACAAACAGAAAUGAUAGUGCUGUAUAAAUGUCCCGUUCUGUGAGCUGUUAGUUGAGCUUCUAAAGCAAAAAAGAAGUAAUUGGGAAAGGAGCAAAACGAGAGGGUGCCGCGAAAAGAACCCAAAAUUUAAGAUAAUGCUGUGAGGUCAGACUAGAUGAUCAUAAUAGCCUUAAAACCAACGGAAAUCUUUUAUACUACCAAAUUGUGCUCUCACUUUUUCCAGGAAUGGCUCCAUUGACUCUCGGGAUUUGUACCUUAGUUACGUGCAGUUCUUCAGUUUGUUAUUCUCCUGUCAUUUCUAUUAAACCGUUGCUGCCUUUUCACGUCAUUCACACAGGUGGUCCCCUUCUCUCCACACUUCACAGCUGCCUGCUGAAGGCUAGGGCUUUCAAGGUGCUCGCAGCAGACACUGGAAGCACAGAUGUGCCACCUCCCUGCCCUUUCGCAGACUCUGUGCUUUGUGCUCUGCUCUGAAGGCAUGCUGGAGGAGAAAUAAUGCUUCUGUGCUGCAGAUGGCCUUAUUUUAGACGUAGCCUAUGGUGAGCUUUUCAGCUUGACAUUUCAAGAAUGAAACAAGCUUCUGCUUAAAGAUUUGGGCAAGUAUUUCCUGUAGACUUGCACUCUGUAGUGGUUGAUGUGACUAUAGCAGCUUGUUUUCACUUGCCCAGGUGUGAAGUGGGUCAGUAUCUAAAGGAGUAGCACUGUUUCAAAAUUUCAGUGACUUGAAUUUUGCAGUCAGAAGUCAUGUGCCAAAUGCCAUGAGAAUGAAGGGAAAGGUCUUUAAGAUCUUGCCUUCAAGAGUAAAGAAGAAAGAUUUCUUAUCCUCUUGGUGGUUAAAAUUUCACACUUUAGGUUGUGUGUUUCAGAGACUCUCCAGGGAAAAAAAAAACAAACAUAACAACAAAUCAUUCAUAUGUGACCUUUGAGUAUCAGCGGUGGCGUGGAUGGGUGGGGGUUAAAGAAAGAAAGAAAUCACGUGAGGCUAGUUGUGCUUGCUGCUCUGUACCCUUAGCAGGUAACUCUGCUCCCACAUCUGACCCAGGUGGCAGGUCAGCAGGGUGCCUGUGAGAGCACUACCUCUGGGUUGGCCCCGGGGUGCCCGUUUUCCUCAUCCAGUGCUGCCACAGCUGUGCGUGGAACUGGCCUCAGAGCCUCGAGCUUUGAUAGCUCUUGUUUCCAUGGGAAGGAUGCUUUGUGAGCUUCUUUCCAUUUCCCAUCUCUUCUUCAGCUGCAGACCCCUGGGCCUACAGAAGCCUCCUGUGGGAUGGAGGGAUGGGAAAGGCGCUGUGUCGAAGAGAGCAGCCUUCUGUAUCUGCAUGCAAACUGAGCUGUUGACUUGGCCAUCAGUGUGGUUCAGUAGAUGAUCUUUUCCCUGUGUUUCUGCAUCAAGCAUUAGAGCUGAUGUAAUAUGUCUUUGCUUUAAACAUACCAGAGUGCUGGGUCAUUAAAGAAGUCAGAAAACAUCUGUAAGAAAGGAAAAUUCCAGUGAGUGUUAUUUUCUUAGCUCUGGCUGCUGACAGUGUUGUUGGGGGCUUGGUCUGUGUUUGGCUGUCGCUUGCAAUGUGCUCAAAUGUGUAAGGAUCUUCAUGUUCUGUAAUGAUCCGAGACCUUCUGUAUCACUCUCCACUGAUCUGAAAAAUAAGCAAUUUCAGAGGAGUUGUCAUCAAAGCUGGAAAAAGCUUCUGAACAGUGGAGUUUCUUUUUUUUUUUUUUUUAAAUCCUACAUAACCCCUGUGUCUGAAGCGCUGGGAGAGCGUGAGUUCAGUAGGCAACUUCAAACGAUAUCUCACCAUGGCGUUGAGCUCUUCUACUGUGACCUUUCUUUUGAAAAAAGUUUUUCUUUUAUUUUCUGGUUCAGAUCACAAUGUAGGCCUAUGGAAGUGCCAAGGAUAACGGUCAGCAAGGCUUCUAAACCUUAGAUUCAUAGAAAGAGUAGGAGUGCAGGAAUUUGGCUGAAGCUGGAAGACGAGAAAUAAAAUGGAGAUGUGGAUAAGCCAUUUUCACCAGAAACUAUGAAACAAUCUUAGUUUUCAUGACAAAUCUUUAACCGCUCUUGCCUUUGUAAGCCUGGCAAGAAGGACAGCCAGAAAGCACAUACCAGAGAUUACACGUUUUUUUUUUUCUCCUGUAUAUUCUUCAGUAAAUUACAAGAAACAAACAAUAUUAGGAAGAGUUUAAAACUUUGUAUACACUUGACAUCAAGAUAACACUUCAUCUAUAGGCUUUGGAUGUUGAUGAGGACUGGUCCAGGAAGCUGUCCUGGAUCAGCAUGGUCCAGGAAACCAACUGUUUCAUAAGAUGGAUCUAUAAGGUGUAAAGGCAGACAUAUUCUGGCUGUAAAUUAAAGACGUGAAGGAUGUUCUCUGGGCAUACAGAGAAGUGGCUACUGUUCAUGUGUAGGUACGUUGUGUGUGUGUGUGUGUGUGAUAGCUCCAGUGCCAGAUGAGUGGCAGCACCUGCAGGACAUCAGUCUUUGCGUUAGUCACCAUUAGUGCUUUUUGUGAGUCUGUUGCAUUGGACUUGCUGCAGUGUUGACGCUUCUGGCUGGGAGCAAGCCCUCAGUAGGUGUCUCUGCAUGGGGCAAGGCAGCUGCAGCUCCAUCCUCCCAGAUACAGCCAGGUACACAUGCAAGGGUGAGUACCUAUUCUUGUGUGUAGAGAUAUAAAUACGUACGCACAUGGCUGGCCCCACAGAUCAGCACAGCCAGGAAAACACAGCGCUCAUGCAAAAGUAAAUGGCAUCAGGGGUCCGGUUUUGUUCCCCUCUGGCUAAUCAGGAUGGAAAUCCCUUAGGGGAAAGUGUAUAUAUAUACGUAUGUAUGUGUAUAUAGAAUAUGGCUCCUUCCAGCAGCUGGUUUUAGACUCGCUGUGCCCAGGAGGUAGCCCCUGGCCCCCAGGUCUCCCAGCUGCUGGCAGCUGGCACGCCAGCCCCACUCCAGGUGCUGGUAGACAGACCCCCGAGCACAAAUAGGCGCAGACACACAGCAAGGAUGCUCUGUACACUCUACCUAUUAGCCAGCCAUGGGAUUCUUUAGUCUUCCAUUGCCUCAUGCACGGUGGCACACAUGGUUGAAUGGGUCUCUCAGAUGAGCCCAGGCCUCAUGGUCUCUCCAGUGAUUUCUCAGUUCCUCCAGUAGCCAGCACUCAGAUCCUGUGCUCUUUCCAGACUUGUGGCUAUUUUGUUUUCUGGCUCCCAGGCCUCUUACCCUUCUCAGCAGCUAGUUCAACUUGAUACUUCUAGCAAUUACAUCCUGACGUAUGUACAGCCUGAUGCGUGCACACUCUGUCCAGUCUUUCCAGUCCCUGGUAACAUGGACACAGGGGGGUCUAUGACUUGUGGGCUCUGCUCCAGUUGCAGGCUCUUAGACAACUCAUGCACUCCUGUCUCUCCAGUUGCUGGUACUGUAGGUGCACUUGGACUUGGUUUGAAAUCAAUAAAUACAUUUUAAAACUCAGAAGACUGGACUGAUAGAGCAGAUGCUGAGAAAAAGAGAAUUAUUUCUGGAAGGAGUCAGUCACUGAAACAGUUAAAAAGCUGUAUCAUAAGCUGUUCUCUGAUCUUAUAUAAUGGCUGGCAUAGCUUCCUCCUAGCUUGUAUUCCUGUUUGCAGUAACUUGUGCAGCUACAGCUGAGAUUUUCUUUUAUCACUUUAGAAACUUUAUAUUCCCAUACAGAGUAAUUUAUUUGUAUAAAUAUUCUACCUGACUGAUGUUUCAAUGACAUUCAUGUACUUCCACUAACCUACUGGUUUAGUCUCUGCAUGUUUCUUGACCUUUUUCCUCCUCGUUAUCUGUUUUUCUCUUCUGUAUGUUCUAGUAUUUAUCUGCCUCUUUGAGGAGUCUCAGGCAUGAAUAGCACUCUUUCUUCAGAUGCUUAUUUCCAUGAUCCCUUUUGUUCAUAUCUGUGCCUCUCCUCUUCCUUUGUUGAAGUUCUGUGAUAUCCAAAUGUCUCAGCAUCUCCAAACCUGUUACCCAUAUUCCCCUCUAAAUAACAGCUUACUGCUUCAAAAAGGGUACUUUGAUAUGACUUUUCCUGCUGUUAUCCUAUUCUAAUUACUUUCUCUACAGGCUUUUUUCUUCCGCCUGGAAAGUCUCCCUCUCUUGUUCUCAGUGUCACUGUGAUCUGCUUGCCUGCUGGACCAUCCUCUGACUGCACUAGCAAGGUAGUGAUACCUACUCAGAAGUGUGUGACAAACAUAUGUAUACACAUAUACACAUACUCAAAGUGUGUGACAUACAUACGUAUGUAUCCACAUAUACACGUACAUGCGUAGCAUUACGUACACAGAACUGCUUCCUAUGAGCUGUUCAUCUUCUCUGAGCAUCUGCUACACAUCUUUUUCCACUGAAGCCUUGUUAGCUCUAGUCCCUCAAGUUCCUUUCCAGUUUCCCUGAUUCUGAUUUUCUCUUUGAGUUUCCAGUCUUCCUGCUUUUCCUUUUCACACCUUCAUUCUGAGUUCCUCUGUCUUGACGCGCAUCUCCUUAUCUCUUGCUGUCCAAUCCAGGUUCUGGAGAUCCUGUUAGCUUUCCAGUUUCUGCCUAAUGCUGUAUGUAUUUUCUUUUUUUAAUUGAUGAUACUGUCUUACUAUACCCAUGAUGUUACCUGAGAAGACUUUGAUGGUUGUUUGUCUGCUCUCCCUUUUUGUGCACAUACUGCCAAUAAAAUGACUUUAAC
Long non-coding RNA from Cygnus olor (mute swan), 8154 nucleotides. RefSeq lists it as uncharacterized. The transcript has 3 exons. NCBI's taxonomy places the organism in Eukaryota, Metazoa, Chordata, Aves, Anseriformes, Anatidae. The record is from RefSeq and is a predicted model, not a curated record.